GAUGAACGCUGGCGGCGUGCCUAAUACAUGCAAGUCGAGCGAACAGACGAGGAGCUUGCUCCUCUGACGUUAGCGGCGGACGGGUGAGUAACACGUGGAUAACCUACCUAUAAGACUGGGAUAACUUCGGGAAACCGGAGCUAAUACCGGAUAAUAUAUUGAACCGCAUGGUUCAAUAGUGAAAGACGGUUUCGCUGUCACUUAUAGAUGGAUCCGCGCCGCAUUAGCUAGUUGGUAAGGUAACGGCUUACCAAGGCGACGAUGCGUAGCCGACCUGAGAGGGUGAUCGGCCACACUGGAACGGAGACACGGUCCAGACUCCUACGGGAGGCAGCAGUAGGGAAUCUUCCGCAAUGGGCGAAAGCCUGACGGAGCAACGCCGCGUGAGUGAUGAAGGUCUUCGGAUCGUAAAACUCUGUUAUUAGGGAAGAACAAAUGUGUAAGUAACUAUGCACGUCUUGACGGUACCUAAUCAGAAAGCCACGGCUAACUACGUG
Molecule: ribosomal RNA, 497 nt
Filed under: uncultured bacterium
Lineage: Bacteria
Description: partial 16S ribosomal RNA
Rfam family: Bacterial small subunit ribosomal RNA
Source: RNAcentral